This is a non-coding RNA of Microcebus murinus (gray mouse lemur), 1120 nucleotides long. The record is from RefSeq and is a predicted model, not a curated record. Lineage: Eukaryota; Metazoa; Chordata; Mammalia; Primates; Cheirogaleidae.
AUUUGCAACAUGCUCUUGAAGUGACACAGUAGUCAAGAUACUGGAUGCAUAGAGAAAGACAUUGUGGCCCAUGGAAGCGAACAAUGUUUCCACAGUCACAAUAUUGUAAGUGCUGUUAAUUGACUUGUCAGUUUUUAGAAUCCACUUGCAGAUAAAACAGGGAAGACAAAUAUGUUUUCAGAAGAGGAAUGGAAAUGUAAUGUUCUCAACAAGCAAAGUGGACAGUUGGGAGUUGGAAGUGGGGGGAGGGGAGCACCGAGGGGGCUCUCGGGCUCUUUUAUGGUAAGACGUCCAGAUGCACGGCGUUGGAAGGCCCUUUCGUCUACUUGUCUUUGGUAGGAAACAUUGCAAAUUCUGAUGGCUUGAUUGCUUCUUUAUGGAAAGAAUAUGGCAAAGCCGAUGCAAGGUGGCUUAAUUUUGAUCCAACCAUUGUGUCUGUGGAAAUUCUGACCGCCGUCCUUGAUGGAUUUCUGGCAUUGUUCCUCAUUUAUGCCAUAGUCAAAGAGAAACCUUAUCGGCAUUUCCUGCAGAUCACCCUGUGCGUGUGCGAGCUGUAUGGCGACUGGAUGACCUUCUGCCCAGAGUGGCUUGUUGGGAGCCCCAACCUCAACACCAACAACUGGCUCUACUGCUGGGUCUACCUGGUAUUUUUCAACGGAGUGUGGGUUCUGAUCCCAGCACUGUUGCUGUGGCAGUCGUGGGUGGAACUCAAGAAAAUACAUCAGAAAGGAACCAGUUCAGGGAAAAAGUUUCAGUGAAUUUUCAAAAUCAUAAACACUAUUAUCUUGCUUUAUGAGCCAAAAUGGAUCAAACUUUUUGUUUGGCCAAAAUGUAAUACAUUCCAGUCUACAUUUUCCUUCUAUAUUGCUGUUCCUGAACAACCUACUUCAAAUUGGUUGUAAGGUGGCAGGUUUUCAUUGUUUGUUUUGUUGUCAUUUUUUCCAAGUGAAUGGCAAUCUAGGGAAGAGAACACAUUUUAACUUGUGAUAAUAACACACUGAGUUAUGUUUUUGUGGCUGGCAGUAAUUGUUCUACUUUAGUAAAGCCAAUUAUCAUGCAAUACUGUACAGAGUAUUAUAUUAAUUUUUUACCCUAAAAAACAUGAUGUUGGUUCGUUUUA